AGAGAGACUGCCGGUGGUUAAGCCGGAGGAAGGUGGGGAUGACGUCAAGUCCUCAUGGCCUUUAUGUCUAGGGCUACACACGUGCUACAAUGGGUGGUACAAAGAGCAGCUAACUCGCGAGAGUAUGCAAAUCUCAAAAAGCCAUCCUCAGUUCGGAUUGGAGUCUGCAACUCGACUCCAUGAAGUUGGAAUCGCUAGUAAUCGCGGAUCAGCAUGCCGCGGUGAAUACGUUCCCGGGCCUU
This 242-nucleotide ribosomal RNA is filed under the name uncultured Smithella sp. Its description in RNAcentral is "partial 16S ribosomal RNA". It matches the Rfam family "Bacterial small subunit ribosomal RNA", at positions 1142 to 1382 of the family's 1533-position model. The record is from RNAcentral. Lineage: Bacteria; Pseudomonadati; Thermodesulfobacteriota; Syntrophia; Syntrophales; Smithellaceae.